AUGCUUUCCGGGGAGAUACCGCGUACAAUCGGCCGUCUCCAUCGUCUGCGCCACCUGAGCUUAGUCAACAACUCGAUCGUUGGCGAGAUUCCUCACGAGAUCUGCAACUGCUCCAACCUCGUGUCCAUGACCCUGGGUAAGAACCAACUGCAGGGGGAAAUCCCUCCUGCUCUUGGGUCACUGUCUCAGCUGCAACUCUUCUAUCUUACCACUAACAAUUUGGUAGGAGGUGUCCCUCCUUCGUUCGGCAACCUGUCUUCGCUUGCGAGGUUAUCACUCUAUGAAAACAAACUGGAAGGGCCCAUACCUGAGGGCCUUUCCCGCCUUCCGCAUCUCCAGCUCAUCCAAGUGGCCAGGAACAAUCUCUCCGGCGCAAUUCCACCACUCUUCUUCAACAUGUCAUCUCUUCAGUAUCUUGGUUUCGGGUCCAACAAACUACAAGGCAGCUUAUCGUCUGAUGUCGGUGUCAACCUACCGAUCCUGGAGGAGCUCCAUUUGGGCAACAAUCACCUGUCCGGGAGGAUCCCAAGUUCCUUUGCCAAUUCCACAAAGAUGCAACUGCUAAGCCUUGCCCGUAACAACUUCCAUGGGAGGGUGGCCCCCGAGAUAGGGAAGUUAUGCCCUGUCCGUGUUGAGUUGGGAAGCAACAGGCUGCAAGUCCAUGAUGCUGAGGGCUGGGAGUUCCUGAGAUUUUUCACAAAUUGCACCCGUCUACAAUUGAUAGAUCUCAACGAAAACGACCUAGGAGGGGUACUUCCAGGUUAUGUAGCUAACUUUUCAAGGCAGAUCCAGUGGCUAAGCAUGGCAGGAAACAGAAUCACUGGGACGAUCCCCUCAGGUAUCGGAAAUCUUGUCAACCUCAACGACCUAGAGUUAGGGGGGAACAAUCUGCAUGGUCCUAUUCCAGAGGGGAUUGGGAGACUGAAGAACCUGCAAAUUUUGUUGCUUCAACAGAAUGACCUUUCCGGACAUAUACCAUCUUCUUUCGGCAACCUCACACUGCUGCAGAAUUUUUCCUUGUCCAACAAUAGAAUCGACGGCCCCAUUCUUAAAAGCCUUGCAAACUUGCAGCAGUUACCUAGCCUAGACUUAUCCUCUAAUCUACUGACUGAGGUUAUCCCUGAUGAGAUCUUUGGCCUUCCUUUCUUGACAGAUUUUCUAUCCCUGUCCAACAACUAUUUGUCAGGUGUCCUGCCUCGACAAGUUGGAAAGCUGAAAAAUAUUGCAAGUUUGGAUCUGUCAAAAAACAACUUGUCAGGAGAAAUACCAGGUACACUAGGGGAUUGUGCAAGCUUAGUGCACCUGGCUUUGGAUGAUAAUUCCUUCACAGGGAGUAUUCCCCCAUCACUUGGUAAUUUGAGAGGACUGAGCAGACUAAAUCUUAAAAAAAAUGAAUUGUCUGGAAGUAUCCCACGAGAGUUGGCCAAAAUCAAUGGGUUACAGCAGUUAUAUCUAGCACAAAAUAACCUGUCUGGGGUCAUUCAACCACUUUUUCAGAACUCAAGUGCUUUGAUUGAGCUAGACCUCUCCUUUAACCAUCUGGAUGGUGAGGUGCCUUCAAGCAGUGUGUUUGCAAACAUGAGUCGAUUCUCGCUGAUUGGUAACAAUGGACUUUGUGGCAGCAUUCCAGAGCUGAAAUUGCCUCCAUGUCAAGUAAAGCCACAUAAGCAGAGACAUAAAUUGCUGCUUGGUAUUCUGCUUCCAGUUGCCGGCAGUGCUAUAUGCUUUUGUCUGUUAGUCUCUGCACUCUUUAUGUUCAAGCGGAAAAUAACAGUGGGCAGGAUGAAGAUUGCUGGCCUCGGUGUGUUGGGUGAAAAGUAUCCCAGAGUUUCAUACUUUGAAAUAUUUGAAGCCACAGAUGGCUUUGCACCUGCCAAGCUGCAAGAUGGUUCUUCCAGAAAUUUCUUGGCAGAAUGUACAGCUCUCAGACGAGUUAAACAUCGGAACUUGAUAAACAUCAUCACUUGCUGCUCUAGCAUUGACCCCAAUGGCAAUGACUUCCGAGCCAUUGUGUUCGACUUCAUGCCUAACUUUUUCCUUGACAGGUGGUUGCAUCCAAGAGCAGAUGAGCAGUGGCACAAGUUGAGUAUUGUCCAGCUGCUGAACAUAGCGGUUGAUGCUGCAGAUGCGCUAGACUAUCUUCACAACAAUAGUCGGCCAUCAGUAAUCCACUGCGAUUUGAAGCCGAGCAACAUCCUCCUUGGCAGUGACUGGACUGCCAAGGUUGCUGAUUUUGGGCUUUCAAAGUUGGUUGGUGAAUACACAGGUAUAUCCGGAUUCAAUUCCGGGAGCUCCGUCGGGAUAAGAGGAACUAUAGGAUAUGUUGCUCCAGAAUAUGGAUUAGGGGGGCAAGUAUCAGUCGCCGGUGAUGCUUACAGCUUUGGGAUCACUCUGUUGGAGAUGUUCACAGGGAGGGCACCAACUGAUGAUAUGUUCAGAGAUGGGUUGAGUCUGCACUUGUUUGCUGAAAUGGCAUGCCCUGACAGGAUACCAGAAAUCAUCGACCCGGCUCUGUUACAGGUGCAACAUCCAUAUGAUGAUGAUGAUGCAAGGUUGGAUAAUGCAUUAGCUUGCUUAGCUUCUGUUAUAAGAAUCGGAAUCUUGUGCUCAAAGGAAACACCAUCUGAGAGAAUGAACAUGGAAAAUGUUGCCACCGAACUGAAUAAAAUCAGGGGCGCGGCAAUGGAAUCCUCUUCGCUAUAA
Molecule: ribosomal RNA, 2703 nt
Filed under: Triticum aestivum (bread wheat)
Lineage: Eukaryota; Viridiplantae; Streptophyta; Magnoliopsida; Poales; Poaceae
Description: partial small subunit ribosomal RNA
Source: RNAcentral